RNAcentral lists this ribosomal RNA (1426 nucleotides) under Pantoea dispersa. RNAcentral's name for it is "bacterial SSU rRNA". It matches the Rfam family "Bacterial small subunit ribosomal RNA". Lineage: Bacteria; Pseudomonadati; Pseudomonadota; Gammaproteobacteria; Enterobacterales; Erwiniaceae. The record is from RNAcentral.
AGCUACCAUGCAGUCGAACGGCAGCACAGAAGAGCUUGCUCUUUGGGUGGCGAGUGGCGGACGGGUGAGUAAUGUCUGGGAAACUGCCCGAUGGAGGGGGAUAACUACUGGAAACGGUAGCUAAUACCGCAUAACGUCGCAAGACCAAAGUGGGGGACCUUCGGGCCUCACACCAUCGGAUGUGCCCAGAUGGGAUUAGCUAGUAGGUGGGGUAAUGGCUCACCUAGGCGACGAUCCCUAGCUGGUCUGAGAGGAUGACCAGCCACACUGGAACUGAGACACGGUCCAGACUCCUACGGGAGGCAGCAGUGGGGAAUAUUGCACAAUGGGCGCAAGCCUGAUGCAGCCAUGCCGCGUGUAUGAAGAAGGCCUUCGGGUUGUAAAGUACUUUCAGCGGGGAGGAAGGCGGUGAGGUUAAUAACCUUGCCGAUUGACGUUACCCGCAGAAGAAGCACCGGCUAACUCCGUGCCAGCAGCCGCGGUAAUACGGAGGGUGCAAGCGUUAAUCGGAAAUUACUGGGCGUAAAGCGCACGCAGGCGGUCUGUUAAGUCAGAUGUGAAAUCCCCGGGCUUAACCUGGGAACUGCAUUUGAAACUGGCAGGCUUGAGUCUCGUAGAGGGGGGUAGAAUUCCAGGUGUAGCGGUGAAAUGCGUAGAGAUCUGGAGGAAUACCGGUGGCGAAGGCGGCCCCCUGGACGAAGACUGACGCUCAGGUGCGAAAGCGUGGGGAGCAAACAGGAUUAGAUACCCUGGUAGUCCACGCCGUAAACGAUGUCGACUUGGAGGUUGUGCCCUUGAGGCGUGGCUUCCGGAGCUAACGCGUUAAGUCGACCGCCUGGGGAGUACGGCCGCAAGGUUAAAACUCAAAUGAAUUGACGGGGGCCCGCACAAGCGGUGGAGCAUGUGGUUUAAUUCGAUGCAACGCGAAGAACCCUUACCUGGCCCUUGACAUCCAGAGAACUUAGCAGAGAUGCUUUGGUGCCUUCGGGAACUCUGAGACAGGUGCUGCAUGGCUGUCGUCAGCUCGUGUUGUGAAAUGUUGGGUUAAGUCCCGCAACGAGCGCAACCCUUAUCCUUUGUUGCCAGCGGUUCGGCCGGGAACUCAAAGGAGACUGCCGGUGAUAAACCGGAGGAAGGUGGGGAUGACGUCAAGUCAUCAUGGCCCUUACGGCCAGGGCUACACACGUGCUACAAUGGCGCAUACAAAGAGAAGCGACCUCGCGAGAGCAAGCGGACCUCAUAAAGUGCGUCGUAGUCCGGAUUGGAGUCUGCAACUCGACUCCAUGAAGUCGGAAUCGCUAGUAAUCGUAGAUCAGAAUGCUACGGUGAAUACGUUCCCGGGCCUUGUACACACCGCCCGUCACACCAUGGGAGUGGGUUGCAAAAGAAGUAGGUAGCUUAACCUUCGGGAGGGCGCUACCACUUU